RNAcentral lists this ribosomal RNA (129 nucleotides) under Cinnamomum aromaticum. Its description in RNAcentral is "partial 28S ribosomal RNA". It matches the Rfam family "Eukaryotic large subunit ribosomal RNA", at positions 1 to 129 of the family's 3401-position model. The record is from RNAcentral. Lineage: Eukaryota; Viridiplantae; Streptophyta; Magnoliopsida; Laurales; Lauraceae.
CGACCCCAGGUCAGGCGUGGCCACCUACUGAAUUUAAGCAUAUCAAUAAGCGGAGGAGAAGAAACUUAUAAGGAUUCCCCUAGUAACGGCGAGCGAACCAGGAGUAGCCCAGCUUGAGGGGCCGCUUGA